AGGCGCGAGCGAGAUCAUUGAAUAUUAAGCACGACCCGGCCCGGCGGCCGCGGCCAAACCCUCCUGGUGCAAUACCCAUUUUCUUUAUGAAAAGUUCAAGGUGUCACUGAUGAGCUCAACAAACUGUUGAUCCUGACCACGUGGAGUGGCAGACGGAGGGACCGCGGGGCGCGGUUGCUGGCCCUGAGCGGGUGGCACCCCAGAUCCCCGCGUCCCUCUCGCAGCACGAGGGGUCGUGCUCGGGUGGGGCCGCCACGCGCCCAGGGCGCUGCCUGCGCUUUCUCCCUUCUCCCGGCUCAGGGAAAUAAUAACUAAAAAAAAAAAAAAAAUUUUUUUUUUUUUUUAAAGCAAGACACGUUUUUGCUCCUGGAAUAGUAAUAAGAGGGCUUGGGGUAGGGAGGGUGAGAAAGAGCCCCCACUUAUAUAACGACUUGAAAUUAGAUGACUUUUGCUGGGGAGAUUCGGGGAUUUGCGCUUGCGCCAGGUCUGAGGUUAGUUAAAGAUCCUCAAACUUUUUCCCUUAAGAGCCAAUAAACAAACAGACGCCCCGGGAGCUGACUUAAACUCUUGUCGGGCCGCCGUUCGCUGGGAUUCUCAGACUCGGAGAAAUGCACACCCCUGCGGCGCUCGCAGGGAAGUCCCUCGGAAGCUGGGCGGGUCGCUUUCGGAACUGGGACUCUGGCGUUCCCGGCUGGAAGAGAUCCCUAACUGCCGCCCCCUGGCUCCCCUCGGGCGUUUUAGAGUACGGGCGGGCCAAGCUCUCGCUGCCCUUCGCUCGCGGCGCGGUACCCGUGAACUUGCGUUCUGGGCGCGGCGUUCCUGCAGCAGUGCUACGCUGAGGAGCCCUAAGGAAUUCGGAUCCCGGGGACGCUUCGGAAUCUCAGCGGGCAACCUGUCUGCGCCGCACAUUCCUGCCCGGACGGACCCGGUUCCCCUCCAAGGGCAUGUGGACGCGUCAGCCUUUCCCGGCUUGAGCUGGGCGCAGGCGUGCACUAGCAGAACCGGGCCGAGGGAUGUUGUCUGGGGUCUACUUCUGACAGUCUGAGCGCAGCGAGAAAACAAAGGGAGCCUGGGGCUGGGAGGCUCUGCGGAGUCCCCGCCCGCCCUGAGGAUUAGCAGGCGCGGAGCGUCGGGGCUUCCCGGCCAGCCUCUGCUCCGGGGAAUUAGAACGAACUCUAGCGGCGGUUUGCGACGCAGCUCUGGGCGCCAGGACCGCAACAGGUGGCCGUGCGCGGCGGAGUGGCCAGAGGCGAGGACGGGGACUGGAGUGGGGACGGCUGGCCUAGGGGGCUGACUGCGUGGCCAAGGCACUGGGUGACCUUUUGACAUUUUUGUUUUCUAGACUGGGGACAAAAAACUGGCUGAACAACGUUUUUCUAGGGUCUCCCCUGGGGCUCCAAUUUCUCUAACAGAGCUCCUUGGGUCUCCAGAAGUUUUGACAAUAAAAAUAGCUCAUAUGCAAAAUUUUCUUACUGGUCUGCACCUGUUUGUUCGGUUAUUGCUCAUGUGGGGUCUGUCUGUUGGUUUUGUUUUUUUGUUGGUGGUAGUUUUUUGGGUUUUUUUUUUGUUUGUUUGUUUGUUUGUUUUAAUGACGCAGACAACAAGGCCCUGGCCUGGGAGGGGUCUCUUGUGUGAUGCUCACAGACCCAAGAAGCGAUGCAUCACAUCGCUGAUGCAGCUCUUAACGUAUUCAUUAAGAACUUCUUCGCAGACCAUGACCCAGAUCGUGUUGCAUCUUUCUCAGACUCAUUUGAUAACUUCUAAGAUCCUAAUGUAUUUGCCAUAAACAUGAGAAUCUAAGAAUACUGUUUUAUAUUUCUUCCCCCAAGGGUGAGCCAGAAGAAUACAGGGGGAAAAAAGGACCCCCCUGCCAAAUUUAAUAAUUUUAUAUUGCUUACCCUUGACUCUUCCAGGUCAUUUCGCUCCCCGUGCCCCAAAGUAAGUGCAGCUCUCAGUUUGUUUCCUCGGAAAUUAUGGAAGCCUUAAGGAAACUGUUUCCAUUUUGAGACUGCAUCUCCUCUUGAUGGCCCAUCACUUAGCAUUUUCUGUGGAGUAGAUGGACCCUUAUCUGAUAUGAUUCAGGAGCUUUGGAAUCCAUGAUGAUAAAGGGACCCCUGAAAGAGCCUUGGGGGCCUCCAGGAUCCUUGGAUCACCUUUUGAGAACCACUGUUAAGAAUCCUGCCAUCAUUCUGUGAGAAGCCCAAACUGCAUGGAGAGGCCACAUGGAAGAAAACCAGGAUUCAGGGGACAACAGCUCCAGCUGAUUGCUGGCUAACACCCAGUCAGACUACAGCCACAUGAGUCAUCUUGGAUGCUGUAGACGAAUUGGCCUUCCAGAUCCACUUCCAACUGAUCUCUGCAGGAAGAAGCAUUCUGAGAUCACAGAGAAGCUGGAUUCAGCCUAAAAACUGCCCCUGCCCACAGGUCCCAGAUACUGAGCCGAUGAAUGCCUUCAGUCAGAGCCAUUUACUGCUGUGUCCGUGCAUCAUCUGAAACCAUCCCGUGCGCCACACGUGUUACCAGCACUGCACGUCUCCUACCCCGCUGACGCCUGUCUGCCUCUCACGGAUCCAUCAGUGAGUAUCGUUCCCUCUGAGAGCAUAAGGUUAGUUUGAGGAACUCGAAAUGUGGUAGACGCCAACUAACUCAUUUUCUUGGCUCCCGUCUCUGCCCUCAUUAUCCCCGCUGUCACCGAAAACACGGAGCUUGCGAGGUCUUUUCCCCACUUACAAUCUGGCCGUUGCUUCCCGUUUCUCUAGGAUGGCACGGGUCAUCUUGCCAGUCUGGCUUUCCAGCCCAGUCUUCUUUCUCCCUUCUUCUAACCUUGUCCUCUUAAGACUCAGCAUCGCUGGGUUCCUGGUCACUGCCUAAAUUUGCUAGUCUUUUCCAUCCUUGUACAUGGAACACCCUCUACCUGGGAUGCCUUCACGCUUCCUAUGCUGCAAGACUCAAAUCAAACGUCAUUUCCUUUGGGGAGCCUUCUGCUCCUCCCAGGAGAGUGAAACCUGCCUCUUCUGAAGUCCUACAGAAUAUUGCAUUUUCCUCGAAUUAGAAUUGCUGCCUUGCAAUCCAGUCCCUUCUUUGUAUUUACCACGGCCACUUGGCUGUGAGUCCCUCAGGGAUGGGUCAUUUGCCAGGCAUCCCUGUCCUCGUGUCUUACCUAACACGGAGUUCGUGGUAGGUAGAACUCUGAGAUGGCCCCAGGAUCCCUCGCCCCUGGUUAUUCCAACACUAAGCUAGGCACUACUGUGAAAAGGUAUUGCAAAUGUAACUAAAGCCUCAGAUCAGUUGACCUUAAAAUCCGGAGAUUAUGAAGAUUAUCUGGAUAGGCCUGAUCUAAUCAUGUGAGCCCUUUAAAAGCAGACAGAUUUUUCUGGCUGGUUGAAGAAGAAGUCGGAGACAUUCAAAGCAGGAGAGGGAUUUCACACAGGGGAAGUUCUCCGUGGCUGCAAUGGAGGGUCCCACGUGGCAAGGACCUGGGAGCCACCUCUAGGAGCUGAGCGUAGGCCCUGGCUGAUAGUUAACAAGACAACGGGGACCUUAGGCCUACAGCCACAAGGAAAUGAAUUCUGCCAAGAGCCACUGAGCUCAGAAGAGCACCCUGGGACCCAGACUAGGCCUGAAGCUCUGGCUGACACCUCUUUUUUGCCCAGUGAGACCCCGAGCAGAAAAGUCAGUGGUUCCAUGUCCAGACUCCUGCCCUACAUGUUGUGCAGUGAUGAAUUUGUGCUGUUCUACACUGCUCAGUGUCUGGUAAUUCCUCACACGCCAGUAGAAGACUGAUAAAGGAUGGAUGCUGAGUAAAUGCUGAAUGAAUAAAUGCAUGGGAACAUGUA
This is a long non-coding RNA of Felis catus (domestic cat), 3836 nucleotides long. RefSeq lists it as uncharacterized. Lineage: Eukaryota; Metazoa; Chordata; Mammalia; Carnivora; Felidae. The transcript has 7 exons. The record is from RefSeq and is a predicted model, not a curated record.